Molecule: ribosomal RNA, 252 nt
Filed under: uncultured Bacteroidales bacterium
Lineage: Bacteria; Pseudomonadati; Bacteroidota; Bacteroidia; Bacteroidales
Description: partial 16S ribosomal RNA
Rfam family: Bacterial small subunit ribosomal RNA
Source: RNAcentral
UACGGAGGAUGCGAGCGUUAUCCGGAUUUAUUGGGUUUAAAGGGUGCGUAGGCGGGCUGUUAAGUCAGCGGUAAAAGCCCGGGGCUCAACCCCGGCGAGCCGUUGAAACUGGCUGGCUUGAGUUGGGGAAAGGCAGGCGGAAUGCGCGGUGUAGCGGUGAAAUGCAUAGAUAUCGCGCAGAACCCCGAUUGCGAAGGCAGCUCACUAGACUGCAACUGACACUGAUGCUCGAAAGUGUGGGUAUCAAACAGG